AACUGGUGAUGAUAAUCGUAAGGCUUGUUUCUCAGAAACAUUCGCAGUGGCCGACCAAGAGCUUUCGCCUUCGUCAGGCUUGAGAGCUUGUGCUGUCUUGCUCCUUCCUUCCUUGGAUGUCUGAAGUU
Non-coding RNA from Helianthus annuus (common sunflower), 128 nucleotides. The record is from Rfam. Lineage: Eukaryota; Viridiplantae; Streptophyta; Magnoliopsida; Asterales; Asteraceae.